GUAGUGAAGAACGUUUACCAUGACCAUGAAAUUAGCCCGGAAAAAGAGGUCGGCAUCUACAUGAGACCCAAAAAAGAUUUCAGGAGGAAGGUCCAUCAGUACUCUCAGUGGAUGGAGAAAGAUAUUGAGACGAAAAACUUGGCGCGGCAAUGGAAUGCCCACCUGGCGGAAAGUCAAUCGAAAAAGUAGACUGUUAAGAUUCAAGAACCAAUCCGAAAGUUUCGGAAUUAUUUAUUUUGACAUUUUAUUCGUA
This is a long non-coding RNA of Bolinopsis microptera, 253 nucleotides long. RefSeq lists it as uncharacterized. NCBI's taxonomy places the organism in Eukaryota, Metazoa, Ctenophora, Tentaculata, Lobata, Bolinopsidae. The transcript is spliced from 2 exons. The record is from RefSeq and is a predicted model, not a curated record.